RNAcentral lists this long non-coding RNA (2301 nucleotides) under Mytilus galloprovincialis (Mediterranean mussel). The record is from RNAcentral. Lineage: Eukaryota; Metazoa; Mollusca; Bivalvia; Mytilida; Mytilidae.
AUACACCUGAAAAAUAUUUGGUGGAGUCAAACGUAUUAAAAUUUUGAAAGGUACUGUAUUUGAUAUUAAUUUUGAGUUGUUUCGAAGAAUAAGUAUAUCUUGUAUCCAAUGAAUAUUUUGAAGCUUUUUAUUAUUUGCUGGUUUAAAUGUUAAAGAAAACACAUUUAUUUUAUUCAUUCUUCAAGUGGUAAUGUAAGGAAACUUUACCAAGAAUAAAGACAAAUUAAAGGCUUCAAUGUAUAAAAAGUUAUAUGUAUUUUAUGAAGUAGAAUGUUAGUUUUAUAUAAUAUUGUAUUGUUGUAGUACCCGCUCAAAUAGAAGUAUUUUACCAUUUGGGGUAUUUAGCUGAAUUGGCUCUGACUGACCCUUGAUCUGUCUCCUAAUAACCUUAUGGUGUCAAGCAACCUUCACUUUUUUAGUAUUACAUGGAAUGUUAUAAAUUGUGCUACAAUAUUUUGUGGGAACUUGUGUGAAAUAAUGGCAGCCAAAUUUGCAUAUAAGUACCGGUAUGCAAAAUUAUCUAAAAAUGAUUCUUAGUUGUAGGGACAUUUUCAAAGUCCCUUCCUACCUUCCCACAUACAUUUUAAUUGAAUUGCCCUUACCUUGUUUGCAGAAAGAUAUUAGAAAUAAAAGAGGUUAAAUGUGUAUGCACUCAAUGGCACUAGUCCUGUUCAAGACAAUUAUGAAGGGGAAAUAAAAAUUUCGAAAUAUUUCAGCUUGUUUGAUUUUGGGGAUUUUCUUUUUGUGUGGUUUGAAUAUGAUCCAAUUUUAUGCAUUUAUUGAUCUGAAAGUACCUCUCUUUUCCAUUUUGCCAAAUUUUUUACAAUUAUAUUGAAAAAUCAUUUCUUCCAAUAUGAUAAUCUUUUGUAUGCUAAGGUUACUGUAGUAAUAAUUAUAAAAUGUACAUUUUUUUACGUGAAAAAGAAUGUUUAAUAAUCAAGAAGUAGUCUUUGAUUAUUUUUUUUUAUUGUCAUAUUCUUUUUCUUUUACCAUUUUCUUGAAUGUUGAAUUUGCUGAGGAAUGAGCAUGCACAUGUAGUUUUAAAAUAUUAAAUCAAGCAAUAUUAAAUUUUGACAAUGAGGCUUGGUUUAUUGUAGAUUGUGUUGUCCUGGUAUAUUUUUGAUAGUAAUAAGAACAAUUAUGAUUUCAGGCUCACAAUAUUUUCUGCAAUUAUUUGAUUAUGAAUUAAUAGGCUGAGAAAAAAUAAAGUCUUUUACAUGAACAAGAAACUUCCUAGUUAACUUUCAUUAUUUAAAAGUAAAAAGGGAGGUAACCAUUUCAAGAACCAAAACCAAAAUUCUAUUGGAGGUAAAGACAAUUGUGCUAGAUGCAAAUUCUCUCAUUUCGGUUAUUGAUUUCUUUUAUCAAAAUAUUUUUGAAAAUAUAAAUUUUCGUCAAAUUGUUGAAAAAUCAUUUAAAUUUAUUAUUUUACCCUUUUUAUAUUCAAAUGCAACUUUCCCAAUUUGAUUCCAAGAUUUAUAUAAAUUGAGGGGAACUUGACGGUACCUGUUUAGUCUGUUGCAGAUAGGUUGUAAACAUUUAUAUCUUUAAAUUAGCUGUAAUGUAUUAUUUACAUAUCCUCAAAAAAGGUUGUAACAAGUCUUGAUCUCUGUAUCAGAAUAUUUACUUUCCGGCCAAUUUACAUGUUAUUUUUUUUAUUUGAAAGAUUUUAGUUUCUUGAAUGAAAGAAGCUGAAUUUUUAGAUUUGGAAUGAAGAUAUAAUAGAGAGCCUAUAUAACCACUCUGAAAUAGUUGUUUUAAAAAGGGAAGAACUCUUAUCUCAAUGCAAGUCAAAAAUUUAUAUACAUGUACUUAAAUCCUAGUUUUGGAAUCUGAUUUAAUACAUAAAAUUCUAUGUUUUUUUGGUUCGUUUUUUUUUUAAUUAGUUUUCAUUUUUUAGCACUUGAUGGCAAUCAAAUUUGUAUAUUAUACAUGUAUUCUUAACCUUCAUGAUGUCAAAAGUAUAAAUAUACUAGAGGAGAAAUAGUUCAUUUAAAUGUUAAUGAUAUAAAAUAAUCUGUAGAAAAGUUUAAUUUUUACAAAGUUUAUUUGUGCAUCUUUCACACAAACUUAACAUUAAAUCUGUUUUACACUUUAUUCAGUUUGUGAGUGAGUGAGUCAGUCCAGGUUUCACAUCUAUAAUCAUAUACUUAGUUUUACUUGAAGAUGAUCAAGUUCAUUAUAUAUAGCUCAAUAUCUUUUUGUUAGUUUAUAAAGUUAUGAUAUAUGUAUAGUAGUUAAGAUAUAUUAGGCAUUUAUACUUAAGUAUUUACUUUUAAGAUUAAAACUUUUUUCAAAAAC